Molecule: long non-coding RNA, 625 nt
Filed under: Gossypium barbadense (sea-island cotton)
Lineage: Eukaryota; Viridiplantae; Streptophyta; Magnoliopsida; Malvales; Malvaceae
Description: long non-coding RNA (GBAR_LNC010272)
Source: RNAcentral
CCUGGAUGGACUCUGCACAUAGUAGACUUGGCGACGAUCCGAUCUUGCCGGUGAAGAUUGACUUAGGCUGCUCACCUCUGAGUCUGUCUUGGAGAGAUGAGCCGACAUUUUCUCCAGUUCUAGCUGUUGUUUUGUAAGUCGAAGACCCAAUGCUAGUGAUGAAGGAGGAGGAGGAGAAGAAGAAAUAGCAAGAGAGAGUAUGAAAAUGGGGUUUACUUGAGAAUUAAAUGUUUAGUAAAAUUGUAGGAUCUCUGGAACGUACCUUUUGCUGUCUGCACGUAGCAAUUUAGUUUUGUUUAUUAUUAUCGAUGUGAAAAAGUAAUUAAUGAGAGCAGGUGGGGAGAGAGAGACAGAGCAAUGGCAGUUGUCCAGUGAAAUAGGUCAUUGUUUGUAUUCAUAUAUGAAAUUGUCAACUUUAACUAUUUUUUACACUCAACCAGUUUCACUGCAGAUCUACAUCUAGCCUGUGUGUCAACACAAAGAUUGGCUCUGUGAGUGAAAUCAAGAUCAAAGUAACAUCAAGGGAACUGUGUUGAAAGCACUGAGACAAGAUCAACCUGGAAGGAUUUGGAGUGGGCCUCAAAAUAUCACUGCAUCUUACAUUCUAAAUUGUAAACCAAAGGGG